UCCUGUCUGGCUCAAUUGGUAGAGCAUGGUGUUUGCAGUGCCAGGGUUGUGGGUUCGAUUCCCAUGGUGGGCC
This 73-nucleotide transfer RNA is filed under the name Salmo salar (Atlantic salmon). It matches the Rfam family "tRNA". From Rfam's summary of the family: Transfer RNA (tRNA) molecules are approximately 80 nucleotides in length. Their secondary structure includes four short double-helical elements and three loops (D, anti-codon, and T loops). Further hydrogen bonds mediate the characteristic L-shaped molecular structure. tRNAs have two regions of fundamental functional importance: the anti-codon, which is responsible for specific mRNA codon recognition, and the 3' end, to which the tRNAs corresponding amino acid is attached (by aminoacyl-tRNA synthetases). tRNAs cope with the degeneracy of the genetic code in two manners: having more than one tRNA (with a specific anti-codon) for a particular amino acid; and 'wobble' base-pairing, i.e. permitting non-standard base-pairing at the 3rd anti-codon position. The record is from Rfam by way of RNAcentral. Lineage: Eukaryota; Metazoa; Chordata; Actinopteri; Salmoniformes; Salmonidae.